CGGGUGAGUAAUGUAUGGGGAUCUGCCCGAUGGAGGGGGAUAACUACUGGAAACGGUAGCUAAUACCGCAUAACGUCGCAAGACCAAAGAGGGGGACCUUCGGGCCUCUUGCCAUCGGAUGUGCCCAGAUGGGAUUAGCUAGUAGGUGGGGUAACGGCUCACCUAGGCGACGAUCCCUAGCUGGUCUGAGAGGAUGAUCAGCCACACUGGGACUGAGACACGGCCCAG
RNAcentral lists this ribosomal RNA (228 nucleotides) under uncultured bacterium. RNAcentral's name for it is "partial 16S ribosomal RNA". It matches the Rfam family "Bacterial small subunit ribosomal RNA", at positions 103 to 334 of the family's 1533-position model. The record is from RNAcentral.